UCGAGAAUCAUUCACAAUGGGCGAAAGCCUGAUGGUGCGACGCCGCGUGGAGGAUGAAGGCCCUAGGGUUGUAAACUCCUGUCAUCAGAGAGUAAAGUUUUGCCGUUAAUAGCGGUGGGGCUUGAUAGUAUCUGAAGAGGAAGGGACGGCUAACUUCGUGCCAGCAGCCGCGGUAAUACGAAGGUCCCAAGCGUUGUUCGGAAUUACUGGGCGUAAAGAGUGCGUAGGCGGCGGGGUAAGUCAGAUGUGAAAUCCCGAGGCUCAACCUCGGAACUGCAUCCGAUACUGCCUUGCUAGAGUAGUGGAGGGGCAUCUGGAAUUCUCGGUGUAGCAGUGAAAUGCGUAGAUAUCGAGAGGAACACUAGUGGCGAAGGCGAGAUGCUGGACACUUACUGACGCUGAGGCACGAAGGCCAGGGUAGCGAAAGGGAUUAGAUACCCCCGUAGUCC
RNAcentral lists this ribosomal RNA (449 nucleotides) under uncultured prokaryote. Its description in RNAcentral is "bacterial SSU rRNA". It matches the Rfam family "Bacterial small subunit ribosomal RNA", at positions 355 to 796 of the family's 1533-position model. The record is from RNAcentral.